GGACUUGUAGCUCAACGGAUAGAGCGACCAGGUUGUUCUAACAUGAGAACAGCUUAGCGUAUUUUGCGGGUUCAAAUCCCGCCAAGUCCU
This 90-nucleotide transfer RNA is filed under the name Paenibacillus alvei. Its description in RNAcentral is "tRNA-OTHER". It matches the Rfam family "tRNA". From Rfam's summary of the family: Transfer RNA (tRNA) molecules are approximately 80 nucleotides in length. Their secondary structure includes four short double-helical elements and three loops (D, anti-codon, and T loops). Further hydrogen bonds mediate the characteristic L-shaped molecular structure. tRNAs have two regions of fundamental functional importance: the anti-codon, which is responsible for specific mRNA codon recognition, and the 3' end, to which the tRNAs corresponding amino acid is attached (by aminoacyl-tRNA synthetases). tRNAs cope with the degeneracy of the genetic code in two manners: having more than one tRNA (with a specific anti-codon) for a particular amino acid; and 'wobble' base-pairing, i.e. permitting non-standard base-pairing at the 3rd anti-codon position. RNAcentral also lists the same sequence under 7 other names. The record is from RNAcentral. Lineage: Bacteria; Bacillati; Bacillota; Bacilli; Caryophanales; Paenibacillaceae.